UACGUAGGGGGCAAGCGUUAUCCGGAUUUACUGGGUGUAAAGGGAGCGUAGGUGGCAGGGCAAGUCAGAUGUGAAAACCCGGGGCUCAACUCCGGGAGUGCAUUUGAAACUGUCCAGCUAGAGUGCAGGAGAGGUAAGCGGAAUUCCUAGUGUAGCGGUGAAAUGCAUAGAUAUUAGGAGGAACACCAGUGGCGAAGGCGGCUUACUGGACGGUGACUGACGCUGAGGCUCGAAAGCGUGGGGAGCAAACAGG
RNAcentral lists this ribosomal RNA (253 nucleotides) under uncultured bacterium. RNAcentral describes it as "partial 16S ribosomal RNA". It matches the Rfam family "Bacterial small subunit ribosomal RNA", at positions 524 to 776 of the family's 1533-position model. The record is from RNAcentral.